This 530-nucleotide ribosomal RNA is filed under the name Bifidobacterium longum subsp. suillum. Its description in RNAcentral is "bacterial SSU rRNA". It matches the Rfam family "Bacterial small subunit ribosomal RNA", at positions 157 to 702 of the family's 1533-position model. Lineage: Bacteria; Bacillati; Actinomycetota; Actinomycetes; Bifidobacteriales; Bifidobacteriaceae. The record is from RNAcentral.
CGGGUGGUAAUGCCGGAUGUUCCAGUUGAUCGCAUGGUCUUCUGGGAAAGCUUUCGCGGUAUGGGAUGGGGUCGCGUCCUAUCAGCUUGACGGCGGGGUAACGGCCCACCGUGGCUUCGACGGGUAGCCGGCCUGAGAGGGCGACCGGCCACAUUGGGACUGAGAUACGGCCCAGACUCCUACGGGAGGCAGCAGUGGGGAAUAUUGCACAAUGGGCGCAAGCCUGAUGCAGCGACGCCGCGUGAGGGAUGGAGGCCUUCGGGUUGUAAACCUCUUUUAUCGGGGAGCAAGCGUGAGUGAGUUUACCCGUUGAAUAAGCACCGGCUAACUACGUGCCAGCAGCCGCGGUAAUACGUAGGGUGCAAGCGUUAUCCGGAAUUAUUGGGCGUAAAGGGCUCGUAGGCGGUUCGUCGCGUCCGGUGUGAAAGUCCAUCGCUUAACGGUGGAUCCGCGCCGGGUACGGGCGGGCUUGAGUGCGGUAGGGGAGACUGGAAUUCCCGGUGUAACGGUGGAAUGUGUAGAUAUCGGAA